CAAGACUGGAAGUGACAGAUAAGACUGCACACUAUACUUGUAAUUUCCUUAUUUUUAAGUCACUAUUGAUAUGCAGUCUCACCAACUUUUUAUCUUUUUCCUGCCUUUGUGCAUAUUAAAAGAAAAAUGUCUGAAUUUCCGCAGCAACAAUAAUUACCAAGAUAAACCACCCUAGUUUGUAUCUCUUGCCACAAAAUCCUAUUUAACACAUUCACUAAUGUUUUUCAAAUGCUGUCAAGAGCAUCCUUUCCUGUGUAAGUAUCUGUACAAUUAAAUGAAAAAAAAAAGUCAAUAACAGAAUUUUAGUAACAUCUUGUUUACUCUUCCUCACUGGUUAUCUGUUUCAUGUCCUUUGACUGUUUGUUAUCUUUUUCCUGUGGGUUUGAAAGGUUUAUUGAUGGUUUUUAGUGUUGAAACAUUGUAAAAGGACUUUUUUAUUGCCUUAAUGGGUGUUAGGAUGGAACUCCAGUAAGAACUGCCCAGAAUAAUUAAAGGUAAAAACAUUGUUCAUUUAAUUGCUUUUUUUUUCAAUUUUUAGAUAAAUGCUGAGAUGUUCGUGGAUUUAUUAGUCAAAAAAUCUGUAAAAAAUACUGUACUGUGCAAGUUUUCAAGAUGCUUGUGGCUGGAAGAAGUUCAGUUUUCAGUUCAGUGUGAUAAAAAGUCUACCACAGUGUUCAACUGCCUUCAUCGACUGCCUUAUUUUGAAUUAUGAUGGUUUUAAGGGCAGACUGGACUUCUACACAUCACUCAUCAAGAAUCAGAGAUAAAUUUUCCAACCAGGUAUUUUUUGCAUUGUUCUGAAUAUUCUCUAAUCUAGUAUUAUUCUCCUUCUA
Molecule: long non-coding RNA, 833 nt
Filed under: Numida meleagris (helmeted guineafowl)
Lineage: Eukaryota; Metazoa; Chordata; Aves; Galliformes; Numididae
Description: lncRNA (ENSNMEG00000004033.1)
Source: RNAcentral